RNAcentral lists this ribosomal RNA (998 nucleotides) under uncultured organism. RNAcentral describes it as "bacterial SSU rRNA". It matches the Rfam family "Bacterial small subunit ribosomal RNA", at positions 474 to 1489 of the family's 1533-position model. The record is from RNAcentral.
GGUAGUAUAGGAUAAGCAUCGCCUAACUCCGGGCCAGCAGCCGCGGUAAUACGGAGGAUGCAAGCGUAUCCGGAAUCACUGGGUUANAAGGGUGCGCAGGCGGAAUAGUAAGUCAGAGGUGAAAGCCCACAGCUCAACUGUGGAAUUGGCCUUUGAUACUGUUAUUCUUGAGUGUAGUUGAAGUAGGCGGAAUAUAGCAUGUAGCGGUGAAAUGCAUAGAUAUGCUAUAGAACACCAAUUGCGAAGGCAGCUUGCUAAACUAUAACUGACGCUGAGGCACGAAAGCGUGGGGAGCGAACAGGAUUAGAUACCCUGGUAGUCCACGCCGUAAACUAUGAACACUCGCUGUUGGCAAUACACAGUCAGCGGCUGAGCGAAAGCGUUAAGUGUUCCACCUGGGAAGUACGAUCGCAAGGUUGAAACUCAAAGGAAUUGACGGGGGCCCGCACAAGCGGAGGAGCAUGUGGUUUAAUUCGAUGAUACGCGAGGAACCUUACCUGGGCUUAAAUGUAUAUUGACGUACUGAGAAAUCAGUAUUUCUUCGGACAAUUUACAAGGUGCUGCAUGGUUGUCGUCAGCUCGUGCCGUGAGGUGUCGGGUUAAGUCCCAUAACGAGCGCAACCCCUACUUCUAGUUACCAGCAUUUCGGAUGGGGACUUUAGAGGAACUGCCUACGCAAGUAGAGAGGAAGGUGGGGAUGACGUCAAAUCAGCACGGCCCUUAUGUCCAGGGCUACACACGUGCUACAAUGGCCGGUACAGAGGGCAGCUACAUAGCAAUAUGAUGCUAAUCUCAAAAGCCGGUCUCAGUCCGGAUUGGAGUCUGCAACUCGACUCCAUGAAGCUGGAUUCGCUAGUAAUCGCACAUCAGCAAUGGUGCGGUGAAUACGUUCCCGGGCCUUGUACACACCGCCCGUCAAGCCAUGGAAGUUGGGGGUACCUGAAGUCGAUUGCCGUAAGGCGUUGCCUAGGGUAAACCAAUGACUGGGGCUAAGUCGU